Molecule: ribosomal RNA, 301 nt
Filed under: uncultured bacterium
Lineage: Bacteria
Description: bacterial SSU rRNA
Rfam family: Bacterial small subunit ribosomal RNA
Source: RNAcentral
UACGUAGGGUGCGAGCGUUAAUCGGAAUUACUGGGCGUAAAGCGUGCGCAGGCGGCCUGUCAAGUCAGGUGUGAAAUCCCCGGGCUUAACCUGGGAAUUGCGCUUGAAACUAGCAGGCUAGAGUACGGGAGAGGGGGGUAGAAUUCCAGGUGUAGCGGUGAAAUGCGUAGAGAUCUGGAGGAAUACCGAUGGCGAAGGCAGCCCCCUGGCCUGAUACUGACACUGAGGUGCGAAAGCAUGGGGAGCAAACAGGAUUAGAUACCCGAGUAGUCCCUGAGACGCCAAGGCACACAGGGGGAUA